RNAcentral lists this ribosomal RNA (1197 nucleotides) under uncultured organism. RNAcentral describes it as "bacterial SSU rRNA". It matches the Rfam family "Bacterial small subunit ribosomal RNA", at positions 199 to 1426 of the family's 1533-position model. The record is from RNAcentral.
GAGUAAAGAUUUCGGUCGCUUUGGGAGGAGCUCGCUUACUAUCAGCUUGUUGGUAGGGUAAUGGCCUACCAAGGCUAUGACGGUUAGGGGGUGUGAGAGCAUGACCCCCAGCAUUGGCACUGAAACACUGGCCAAACACCUACGGGUGGCUGCAGUCGAGAAUCUUCCACAAUGGGGGAAACCCUGAUGGAGCGAUGCUGCGUGCGGGAUGAAGGCCUUCGGGUUGUAAACCGCUUUUGUAGGGGACGAAAUUUUUGACGGUACCCUUUCGAAUAAGAGGUUGCUAACUCUGUGCCAGCAGCAGCGGUAAUACAGAGACCUCAAGCGUUAUCCGGAUUUACUGGGCGUAAAGCGUCUGUAGGGGGUUUAUUAAGUUCCAAGUAAAAUUUCAAGGCUCAACUUUGAAUUCGCUUGGAAAACUAAUAAACUGGAGUCUAGCAGAGGUGCAUGGAACUUGUGGUGUAGGAGUGAAAUCCGUUGAUAUCACAAGGAACACCAAAGGCGAAGGCAUUGCACUGGGCUAGCACUGACCCUGAGAGACGAAAGCGUGGGGAGCAAAACGGAUUAGAUACCCGUGUAGUCCACGCCCUAAACGAUGAAUGCUAAAUGUUCGGGGAUUCGACCCCCUGGGUGUUACAGCUAACGCGUUAAGCAUUCCGCCUGGGAAGUACGGCCGCAAGGCUAAAACUCAAAGGAAUAGACGGGGAUCCGCACAAGCGGUGGAGCGUCUGGUUUAAUUCGACAGUAAGCGUGGUACCUCACCAGGGUUUGACAUCCCUUGACAGCCUUGGAAACAAGGUUUCCUUCGGGCAAGGUGACAGGUGCUGCAUGGUCGUCGUCAGUUCGUGCCGUGAGGUGUUCCGUUAAGUCGGGAAACGAACGAAACCCCUAUUGCAUGUUACAAUUUCUCAUGCAAGACUGCCCGGAUAUACUGGGAGGAAGGUGGGGAUGACGUCAGAUCUGCAUGGUCCUUAUACCCUGGGCGACACAGGCGCUACAAUGGCAGAGACAAAGGGUUGCAAAACCGCAAGGUGAAGCUAAUCCCAAAAACUUUGUCUAAGUUCGGAUUGAAGGCUGCAAUUCGCCUUCAUGAAGCUGGAAUCGCUAGUAAUCGUGAAUCAGCCACGUCACGGUGAAUAUGUUCCCGGAUCUUGUACUCACCGCCCGUCACACCAAGAGAGUUGGUAGCCCCCGAAG